GAUGAACGCUGGCGGCGCGCCUAACACAUGCAAGUCGAACGGCACCCCUCUCCGGAGGGAAGCGAGUGGCGAACGGCUGAGUAACACGUGGAGAACCUGCCCCCUCCCCCGGGAUAGCCGCCCGAAAGGACGGGUAAUACCGGAUACCCCGGGGUGCCGCAUGGCACCCCGGCUAAAGCCCCGACGGGAGGGGAUGGCUCCGCGGCCCAUCAGGUAGACGGCGGGGUGACGGCCCACCGUGCCGACAACGGGUAGCCGGGUUGAGAGACCGACCGGCCAGAUUGGGACUGAGACACGGCCCAGACUCCUACGGGAGGCAGCAGUGGGGAAUCUUGCGCAAUGGGGGGAACCCUGACGCAGCGACGCCGCGUGCGGGACGGAGGCCUUCGGGUCGUAAACCGCUUUCAGCAGGGAAGAGUCAAGACUGUACCUGCAGAAGAAGCCCCGGCUAACUACGUGCCAGCAGCCGCGGUAAUACGUAGGGGGCGAGCGUUAUCCGGAUUCAUUGGACGUAAAGCGCGCGUAGGCGGCCGGCAGGCCGGGGGUCGAAGCGGGGGGCUCAACCCCCCGAACCCCCGGAACCUCCGCGGUUUGGGUCCGGUUUGGGAGGGUGGAACACCCGGUGUAGCGGUGGAAUGCGCAGAUAUCGGGUGGAACACCGGUGGCGAAGGCGGCCCUCUGGGCCGAGACCGACGCUGAGGCGCGAAAGCUGGGGGAGCGAACAGGAUUAGAUACCCUGGUAGUCCCAGCCGUAAACGAUGGACGCUAGGUGUGGGGGGACGAUCCCCCCGUGCCGCAGCCAACGCAUUAAGCGUCCCGCCUGGGGAGUACGGCCGCAAGGCUAAAACUCAAAGGAAUUGACGGGGGCCCGCACAAGCAGCGGAGCAUGUGGCUUAAUUCGAAGCAACGCGAAGAACCUUACCAGGGCUUGACAUAUGGGUGAAGCGGGGGAGACCCCGUGGCCGAGAGGAGCCCAUACAGGUGGUGCAUGGCUGUCGUCAGCUCGUGUCGUGAGAUGUUGGGUUAAGUCCCGCAACGAGCGCAACCCCCGCCGCGUGUUGCCAUCGGGUGAUGCCGGGAACCCACGCGGGACCGCCGCCGUCAAGGCGGAGGAGGGCGAGGACGACGUCAAGUCAUCAUGCCCCUUAUGCCCUGGGCUGCACACGUGCUACAAUGGCCGGUACAGAGGGAUGCCACCCCGCGAGGGGGAGCGGAUCCCGGAAAGCCGGCCCCAGUUCGGAUUGGGGGCUGCAACCCGCCCCCAUGAAGUCGGAGUUGCUAGUAAUCGCGGAUCAGCAUGCCGCGGUGAAUGCGUUCCCGGGCCU
RNAcentral lists this ribosomal RNA (1325 nucleotides) under uncultured bacterium. RNAcentral's name for it is "bacterial SSU rRNA". It matches the Rfam family "Bacterial small subunit ribosomal RNA", at positions 28 to 1381 of the family's 1533-position model. The record is from RNAcentral.